CAGGGCUCAGGCCCCACUGCCCCACGGCCAAGUGGACAAUGAAGACGCUCAGCCCGCCAGCAAGGGCUGUGACUCACAGGUUGUGAGGCCAGGCAGGGCCCCAAGCUCAGCCCCCGAGGCCCCAGCCAUUCAACCUGGGCAGUAAAGGGCUCCGAGUUCCGGGGCCCCUUCAGAUACCGGCUCUGCUCCCGGACUCUGGGGACGACCCAAUGGGCCCGUGGGAAGGCAGAAAGGGCCAGGACCAGCUUCUCCUACUAACGAGCCCUAAGGAGGCGAAUGUGGAAAUGACUUGGCAGCAUCUGAGAGGCAGCUUGGAAAACUGGGAAAAGCUCUGGCCCGGGAGGCAAGAGCCACGGGGCUGUCCCAGCUGUGGCUGUGGGUGAGUCACAGCCUGUCCGGUGACAUGGCCCUUAUCUACAAAGGGAGGAGCUCUGGCAAAUGUGUCCAUAGAGCUUUGGCCGCCCCUCCUGCCAAGCAGCCGUCUCUGGAAAUGAGCAUUUGGAAGAUUAGCCCUGACCUAACAUCUGCCACCAAUCCUCCUCUUUUGCUGAGGAAGACUGGCCCUGAGCUAACAUCUGUGCCCAUUUUCCUCUGUUUUACAUGUGGGACGCCUGCCACAGCAUGGCUUGAUAAGCAGUGCAUAGGUCCACAGCCGGGGUUCUGAACCGAAGAACCUCAAGCGCUGAAGUAGAGCACAUGAACUUAACCACUUUGCCAGUGGGCCAGCCCUCAAUAUUUCUAAUUCUUGAUUAUAAAAUGUGAUUGCAGACCUUAGGGCAAAGCUGGUGUGUGCCUCCUACUCUCUCAUCCUGGCCCCACCUGGGCUUUGUUUGCUCUCAGACAAGUCCCUUAACCUCUUCGUAGGGGACCCUUCUCUCUGGAAACUUCCCUCCACUCCCAACCCCUCCCCUCAUGGCCGCAGAGUCAGGAGAAUGGGCCUCUGUGCGAUGCGAUUCCCACUCCUGCCCCCUCACCUGACUCAGCUGGGCCAUCGGACCAUCUCCCGUGAAGACCUGUGCCCGGGUCCAAGGGGCAGCCUGUUAGCCUCCUCAAGGGCCUGGGCCUGUGACUGUUGGCCUUGGACCCAUGGGCAGCCAGCAUCUUUGGCCAAGGGACUGGGUAUCAAAAAGAGCCAUUAUGAAGGGAGAGAAGAAUGAGUUGUAUGUAUGGGAAGAGCAGAAACAAGGAACCCUGGGUUUCUAAAGGCUUUGCAGUGUCUAACUCCAGUCCCUUUCCAAAAAUUGACUACAUGCCUUGGGUUCCAUGAGACACUCCUGCACAGUUAUAACAAAUUCUCCUCCUCUUCCUUUUUUUUUUUUUAACCUAAGCUAACCCAGAAUGGGUUGUACCACUUGCACUUGUAGAGUUAUAACUAAUAUACCCUGUAAAAUAUGAGUCCAAAACAGUUCACAGGAGUAUUAUAAGAAUAAAUUGAGAUAUUUGUAUGAAUAUGCCAUAGAAGUACUAAUGUGAAUUAUCUUACGGUAUUAAUAUUAUUAUUACUA
This 1505-nucleotide long non-coding RNA is filed under the name Equus asinus (donkey). RNAcentral's name for it is "lncRNA (ENSEASG00005023854.1)". Lineage: Eukaryota; Metazoa; Chordata; Mammalia; Perissodactyla; Equidae. The record is from RNAcentral.